UAGGAAGUGGUGUAUUGGAAGCACUAAGAGUUUUGAUCUCUUCGGUAUGGGGUUCGAGUCCCCUCUUUCUAG
This 72-nucleotide transfer RNA is filed under the name Psammoperca waigiensis. RNAcentral describes it as "tRNA-Gln". It matches the Rfam family "tRNA". Rfam says of the family: Transfer RNA (tRNA) molecules are approximately 80 nucleotides in length. Their secondary structure includes four short double-helical elements and three loops (D, anti-codon, and T loops). Further hydrogen bonds mediate the characteristic L-shaped molecular structure. tRNAs have two regions of fundamental functional importance: the anti-codon, which is responsible for specific mRNA codon recognition, and the 3' end, to which the tRNAs corresponding amino acid is attached (by aminoacyl-tRNA synthetases). tRNAs cope with the degeneracy of the genetic code in two manners: having more than one tRNA (with a specific anti-codon) for a particular amino acid; and 'wobble' base-pairing, i.e. permitting non-standard base-pairing at the 3rd anti-codon position. The record is from RNAcentral. Lineage: Eukaryota; Metazoa; Chordata; Actinopteri; Centropomidae.